CCAGCCUGGGCCAUUUCCAGAGGCAGCAGCUGGGAGGAGACGGUUCUCAGGUGCACUUAGGCCAGGUGUCGAGCUGCAGCGGACAAGACUCACGUCCUGGUGGUGAGAGACAUUCAGAUCCCCAAGUGGAGGUCCCAGUCAGAGAGAUGAUACGGCUUAAUGAGAAAUCAGUGACGUUCAAGGACGUGGCUGUGGAUUUCACUGAGGACGAGUGGAGACAACUGAAUCCUACUCAGAGACAGCUGUACAGGGACGUGAUGCUAGAGAACUACAGAAACCUAAUUUUUCUAGGUAAGCCCUUGUGACUCAGUCUCCCUUUUCUGACUUCUCGUCUUCCUGUGUUGUCAAACACCCUGGGAUGAUCUGAGGUGAUUAGCUG
This 379-nucleotide long non-coding RNA is filed under the name Vombatus ursinus (common wombat). RNAcentral describes it as "lncRNA (ENSVURG00010002358.1)". Lineage: Eukaryota; Metazoa; Chordata; Mammalia; Diprotodontia; Vombatidae. The record is from RNAcentral.